AAAUUGAAGAGUUUGAUCAUGGCUCAGAUUGAACGCUGGCGGCAGGCCUAACACAUGCAAGUCGAACGGUAACAGGAAGAAGCUUGCUUCUUUGCUGACGAGUGGCGGACGGGUGAGUAAUGUCUG
Molecule: ribosomal RNA, 126 nt
Filed under: Escherichia coli
Lineage: Bacteria; Pseudomonadati; Pseudomonadota; Gammaproteobacteria; Enterobacterales; Enterobacteriaceae
Also listed under: 2 other names
Description: partial 16S ribosomal RNA
Rfam family: Bacterial small subunit ribosomal RNA
Source: RNAcentral